GAUCUCUCGAUGACCACCUGUGGCGAAGGCGGUCUACCAGAACACGUCCGACGGUGAGGGAUGAAAGCUGGGGGAGCAAACCGGAUUAGAUACCCGGGUAGUCCCAGCUGUAAACUAUGCAAACUCAGUGAUGCAUUGGCUUGAUGCCAAUGCAGUGUUGCAGGGAAGCCGUUAAGUUUGCCGCCUGGGAAGUACGUACGCAAGUAUGAAACUUAAAGGAAUUGGCGGGGGAGCACCACAAGGGGUGAAGCCUGCGGUUCAAUUGGAGUCAACGCCAGAAAUCUUACCCGGAGAGACAGCAGAAUGAAGGUCAAGCUGAAGACUUUACCAGACAAGCUGAGAGGUGGUGCAUGGCCGUCGCCAGCUCGUGCCGUGAGAUGUCCUGUUAAGUCAGGUAACGAGCGAGAUCCUUGCCUCUAGUUGCCACCAUUACUCUCAGGAGUAGUGGGGCGAAUUAGCGGGACCGCCGUAGUUAAUACGGAGGAAGGAAGGGGCCACGGCAGGUCAGUAUGCCCCGAAACUCUGGGGCCACACGCGGGCUGCAAUGGUAACGACAAUGUGUUCCGAAUCCGAAAGGAGGAGGUAAUCCUCAAACGUUACCACAGUUAUGACUGAGGGCUGCAACUCGCCCUCACGAAUAUGGAAUCCCUAGUAACUGCGUGUCAUUACCGCGCGGUGAAUACGUCCCUGCUCCUUGCACACACCGCCCGU
Molecule: ribosomal RNA, 711 nt
Filed under: uncultured sediment archaeon
Lineage: Archaea
Description: bacterial SSU rRNA
Rfam family: Archaeal small subunit ribosomal RNA
Source: RNAcentral